UAGAAGGUUACAGCUGCUGACACGGAA
This 27-nucleotide unclassified non-coding RNA is filed under the name Mus musculus (house mouse). RNAcentral describes it as "oocyte_clustered_small_RNA9047". The record is from RNAcentral. Lineage: Eukaryota; Metazoa; Chordata; Mammalia; Rodentia; Muridae.